AUUAGAUACCCUGGUAGUCCGCACGGUAAACGAUGGAUGCCCGCCGUUGGGUAUUUUUAUUCAGCGGCCAAGCGAAAGCGUUAAGCAUCCCACCUGGGGAGUACGCCGGCAACGGUGAAACUCAAAGGAAUUGACGGGGGCCCGCACAAGCGGAGGAACAUGUGGUUUAAUUCGAUGAUACGCGAGGAACCUUACCCGGGCUUGAAUUGCAGAUGACGGAUCCAGAGAUGGUGACUUCCUUCGGGACAUCUGUGAAGGUGCUGCAUGGUUGUCGUCAGCUCGUGCCGUGAGGUGUCGGCUUAAGUGCCAUAACGAGCGCAACCCCUUUCGUCAGUUGCCAUCGGGUAAUGCCGGGCACUCUGGCGACACUGCCGCCGCAAGGUGUGAGGAAGGUGGGGAUGACGUCAAAUCAGCACGGCCCUUACGUCCGGGGCUACACACGUGUUACAAUGGGGCAUACAGAGAGUUGGUCAUGCGCAAGCAUGAUCGGAUCAUGAAAGUGUCCCUCAGUUCGGACUGGGGUCUGCAACCCGACCCCACGAAGCUGGAUUCGCUAGUAAUCGCGCAUCAGCCAUGGCGCGGUGAAUACGUUCCCGGGCCUUGUACACACCGCCCGUCAAGCCAUGAAAGCCGGGGGCGCCUGAAGUCCGUGACCGCGAGAGUCGGCCUAGGGUGAAACCGGUGAUUGGGGCUAAGUCGUAACAAGGUACC
This 711-nucleotide ribosomal RNA is filed under the name uncultured bacterium. RNAcentral's name for it is "bacterial SSU rRNA". It matches the Rfam family "Bacterial small subunit ribosomal RNA", at positions 777 to 1500 of the family's 1533-position model. The record is from RNAcentral.